This 513-nucleotide ribosomal RNA is filed under the name Triticum aestivum (bread wheat). Its description in RNAcentral is "partial small subunit ribosomal RNA". The record is from RNAcentral. Lineage: Eukaryota; Viridiplantae; Streptophyta; Magnoliopsida; Poales; Poaceae.
UAUCAUAAUCACUUGACUCAGCUGGGAGUUAAUCUUCUAGAUGAUAGUGUUAUUGACAGAGUUCUCCAAUCACUGCCACCAAGCUAUAAAGGCUUCAUGAUGAACUAUAAUAUGCAAGGGAUGGAGAAGACAAUUCCCGAGCUCUUCGCAAUACUCAAAGCUACGGAGGUAGAAAUCGAGAAGGAGCAUCAAGUGUUGAUGGUCAACAAGACCACUAGUUUCAAGAAAAAGGGCAAGGGAAAGAAGGGGAACUCCAAGAAGAAUGGCAAGCAAGUUGCCACUCCCGGGAAGAAGCCCAAAUCUGGACCCAAGCCUGAAACUGAGUGCUUCUACUGCAAAGGGACUGGUCACUGGAAGCGAAACGGCCCCAAGUAUUUGGCGGAUAAGAAGGAUGGCAAAGUGAACAAAGGUAUAUUUAAUAUACAUGUUAUUGAUAUGUACCUUACUAAUGCUCGUAGUAGCACCUGGGUAUUCGAUACUGGUUUGGUUGCUCAUAUUUGUAACUUGAAAUAG